UAAAUUGAAGAGUUUGAUCAUGGCUCAGAUUGAACGCUGGCGGCAGGCCUAACACAUGCAAGUCGAGCGGAGUUAUAUUGUAGCUU
Molecule: ribosomal RNA, 86 nt
Filed under: Wolbachia pipientis
Lineage: Bacteria; Pseudomonadati; Pseudomonadota; Alphaproteobacteria; Rickettsiales; Anaplasmataceae
Description: partial 16S ribosomal RNA
Rfam family: Bacterial small subunit ribosomal RNA
Source: RNAcentral